AUUGAACGCUGGCGGCAUGCCUUACACAUGCAAGUCGAACGGCAGCACGGGUGCUUGCACCUGGUGGCGAGUGGCGAACGGGUGAGUAAUACAUCGGAACAUGUCCUGUAGUUGGGGAUAGCCCGGCGAAAGCCGGAUUAAUACCUCAUACGAUCUACGGAUGACAGCGUGGGACCUUCGAGCCUCGCGCUAUAGGGUUGGCCGAUGGCUGAUUAUCUAGUUGGUGGGGUAAAGGCCUACCAAGGCGACUAUCAGUAGCUGGUCUGAGAGGACGACCAGCCACACUGGGACUGAGACACGGCCCAGACUCCUACGGGAGGCAGCAGUGGGGAAUUGUGGACAAUGGGCGAAAGCCUGAUCCAGCAAUGCCGCGUGCGUGAAGAAGGCCUUCGGGUUGUAAAGCACUUUUGUCCGGAAAGAAAUCCUUGGCCCUAAUACGGUCGGGGGAUGACGGUACCGGAAGAAUAAGCACCGGCUAACUACGUG
This 486-nucleotide ribosomal RNA is filed under the name uncultured bacterium. RNAcentral describes it as "partial 16S ribosomal RNA". It matches the Rfam family "Bacterial small subunit ribosomal RNA", at positions 30 to 507 of the family's 1533-position model. The record is from RNAcentral.